RNAcentral lists this ribosomal RNA (1023 nucleotides) under uncultured bacterium. Its description in RNAcentral is "bacterial SSU rRNA". It matches the Rfam family "Bacterial small subunit ribosomal RNA", at positions 44 to 1079 of the family's 1533-position model. The record is from RNAcentral.
GGAGCUACCAUGCAGUCGAGGGGCAGCACGGGGUAGCAAUACUCUGGUGGCGACCGGCGCACGGGUGAGUAACGCGUAUGCAACCUGCCCUGUACAGGGGGAUAACCCGGAGAAAUUCGGCCUAAUACCCCAUAAUGAUAUCGAGGGGCAUCCUUUGAUAUUUAAAGCUGAGGCGGUACAGGAUGGGCAUGCGUAACAUUAGCUGGUUGGCGGGGUAACGGCCCACCAAGGCGACGAUGUUUAGGGGACCUGAGAGGGUGAUCCCCCACACUGGUACUGAGACACGGACCAGACUCCUACGGGAGGCAGCAGUGAGGAAUAUUGGUCAAUGGGCGCAAGCCUGAACCAGCCAUCCCGCGUGCAGGAAGACGGCCCUAUGGGUUGUAAACUGCUUUUUCAGGGGGAGAAACACUCCGACGUGUCGGGGCUUGACGGUACCCUGAGAAUAAGCAUCGGCUAACUCCGUGCCAGCAGCCGCGGUAAUACGGAGGAUGCGAGCGUUAUCCGGAUUUAUUGGGUUUAAAGGGUGCGUAGGCGGAUCAAUAAGUCAGUGGUGAAAAUCUGCAGCUUAACUGUAGACUUGCCGUUGAUACUGUUAGUCUUGAGUAUGGUCAGGGCAGGCGGAAUGUGUAAUGUAGCGGUGAAAUGCUUAGAUAUUACACAGAACACCUAUAGCGAAGGCAGCUUACUGGGCCAUUACUGACGCUGAUGCACGAAAGCGUGGGGAGCGAACAGGAUUAGAUACCCUGGUAGUCCACGCCGUAACGAUGAUCACUCGCUGUUGGCGAUACACAGUCAGCGGCUAAGCAAAGCAUUAAGUGAUCCACCUAGGGAGUACGGCCGCAAGGCUGAAACUCAAAGGAAUUGACGGGGGCCCGCACAAGCGGAGGAACAUGUGGUUUAAUUCGAUGAUACGCGAGAACCUUACCUGGGCUAAAUGUAGAGUGCAUGUAGUGAAACACUGCUCCCUUCGGGCUCUUUGCAGUGCUGCAUGUGUCGUCAGCUCGUGCGUGAGGUGUCGGG